Molecule: ribosomal RNA, 536 nt
Filed under: Aristelliger expectatus
Lineage: Eukaryota; Metazoa; Chordata; Lepidosauria; Squamata; Sphaerodactylidae
Description: partial 12S ribosomal RNA
Rfam family: Bacterial small subunit ribosomal RNA
Source: RNAcentral
CAAACUAGGAUUAGAUACCCUACUAUGCUCAGCCGUUAACCUAGACUGCACAACAACCAGCAGUUCGCCAGAAAACUACAAGUGAAAAACUUCAAACUCCAAGGACUUGACGGUGUCCCAUACAAACCUAGAGGAGCCUGUACUAUAAUCGAUAAUCCACGAUAUACCUUACCCUCCCUUGUCAAAUCAACCUAUAUACCGCCGUCGCCAGCCUGCCUUUUGAAAGAAAGUACAGCAGGCAACAAAGUAACUACCACACACUAAAACGUCAGGUCAAGGUGUAGUUAAUGAGAGGGCAGAUAUGGGCUACAUUUUCUAAUGUAGAAAACACCAACAGCAAUAUGAAACACAAGCCAUAAGAUGGAUUUAGCAGUAAACCUGGCAAGACAGGCCAAAUUGAAAUUAACCCUGGGACGCGUACACACCGCCCGUCACCCUCCUCGACAUCAAUAAAACCACUAAAUAAAACAAACCAACACCAGCAGAUGAGGUAAGUCGUAACAUGGUAAGCGUACUGGAAAGUGCGCUUGGCCCAC